AAUGCUUGGGAACUUGCCUUUGCGAGGGGGAUAACAGUUGGAAACGACUGCUAAUACCGCAUAAUGUCUUCGGACCAAACGGGGCUUCGGCUCCGGCGCAAAGAGAGGCCCAAGUGAGAUUAGCUAGUUGGUAAGGUAACGGCUUACCAAGGCGACGAUCUCUAGCUGUUCUGAGAGGAAGAUCAGCCACACUGGGACUGAGACACGGCCCAGACUCCUACGGGAGGCAGCAGUGGGGAAUAUUGCACAAUGGGGGAAACCCUGAUGCAGCCAUGCCGCGUGUGUGAAGAAGGCCUUCGGGUUGUAAAGCACUUUCAGUUGUGAGGAAAAGUUAGUAGUUAAUACCUGCUAGCCGUGACGUUAACAACAGAAGAAGCACCGGCUAACUCCGUGCCAGCAGCCGCGGUAAUACGGAGGGUGCGAGCGUUAAUCGGAAUUACUGGGCGUAAAGCGCACGCAGGCGGUUUGUUAAGCUAGAUGUGAAAGCCCCGGGCUCAACCUGGGAUGGUCAUUUAGAACUGGCAGACUAGAGUCUUGAGAGGGGAGUGGAAUUCCAGGUGUAGCGGUGAAAUGCGUAGAUAUCUGGAGGAACAUCAGUGGCGAAAGGCGACUCCCUGGCCAAGACUGACGCUCAUGUGCGAAAGUGUGGGUAGCGAACAGGAUUAGAUACCCUGGUAGUCCACCACCGUAAACGCUGUCUACUAGCUGGUG
RNAcentral lists this ribosomal RNA (711 nucleotides) under Alteromonas gracilis. RNAcentral's name for it is "bacterial SSU rRNA". It matches the Rfam family "Bacterial small subunit ribosomal RNA", at positions 112 to 825 of the family's 1533-position model. The record is from RNAcentral. Lineage: Bacteria; Pseudomonadati; Pseudomonadota; Gammaproteobacteria; Alteromonadales; Alteromonadaceae.